Molecule: ribosomal RNA, 518 nt
Filed under: uncultured Acidobacteriota bacterium
Lineage: Bacteria; Pseudomonadati; Acidobacteriota
Description: bacterial SSU rRNA
Rfam family: Bacterial small subunit ribosomal RNA
Source: RNAcentral
AGAGUUUGAUCUGGCUCAGAAUCAACGCUGGCGGCAUGCCUAACACAUGCAAGUCGAACGCGAAAGGGUCCUUCGGGAUCUGAGUAGAGUGGCGUCCGGGUGAGUAACGCGUAGAUCAUCUACCUUCGGGUGGGGAAUAACUCAGGGAAACUUGAGCUAAUACCGCAUAACAUUGAAAGAUCAAAGCAGGGGAUCGCAAGACCUUGCGCCUGAAGAGGAGUCUGCGUCUGAUUAGCUAGUUGGUAAGGUAAUGGCUUACCAAGGCUUCGAUCAGUAGCUGGUCUGAGAGGACGGCCAGCCACAUUGGCACUGAAACACGGGCCAAACUCCAACGGGAGGCAGCAGUGGGGAAUUUUGGGCAAUGGGCGAAAGCCUGACCCAGCAAUGCCGCGUGAACGAUGAAGUCCUUCGGGAUGUAAAGUUCGGAAGUAAGGAACGAAAAGCUAUAGGAUAAUACCCUGUAGUGCUGACGGUACCUUAUCUAAGCCCCGGCUAACUACGUGCCAGCAGCCGCGGUA